This 429-nucleotide ribosomal RNA is filed under the name uncultured bacterium. Its description in RNAcentral is "partial 16S ribosomal RNA". It matches the Rfam family "Bacterial small subunit ribosomal RNA", at positions 338 to 795 of the family's 1533-position model. The record is from RNAcentral.
CCUACGGGGGGCUGCAGUAACGAAUCUUCCCCAAUGGGCGCAAGCCUGAGGGAGCGACGCCGCGUGGAGGACGAAGUCCUUCGGGAUGUAAACUCCUGUCAGGGGUUACCGGAGCCCCAGAGGAAGAGGCGGCUAACUCUGUGCCAGCAGCCGCGGUAAGACAGAGGCCUCGAGCGUUAGGCGGAAUCACUGGGCUUAAAGCGUGUGUAGGCGGAUCGUUAAGUGCCUUGUGAAAUCCCACGGCUUAACUGUGGAACGGCUGGGCAUACUGGCGGUCUUGAGCCAUCUAGGGGCGACUGGAACAAACGGUGGAGCGGUGAAAUGCGUAGAUAUCGUUUGGAACGCCAAAGGUGAAAACAGGUCGCUGGGAGAGCUGACGCUGAGACACGAAAGCCAGGGGAGCAAACGGGAUUAGAUACCCUUGUAGUC